Odocoileus virginianus texanus is the source of this 11021-nucleotide non-coding RNA. NCBI's taxonomy places the organism in Eukaryota, Metazoa, Chordata, Mammalia, Artiodactyla, Cervidae. The record is from RefSeq and is a predicted model, not a curated record.
CCAAAUAAUGUACAUGGGCCAAAAAAAGAAAAAGAAGGAAAAAGGACAAAUUUGUCAUAUCCUACUCUUCUGUCUUGUAUCAAAUAUCUUUAGAAUUGUUUGCUUUGCUCCAGUGUUUUUUCUCUGCUCAUGUAGAAAUGCACCCAUAUAUGUGAGUUUCAAUGGCUUAUCAGCAUUUCACAUAUAGAAUGUACUUAAUUGAAUCCCUAUUGUAUAUUCAGCAUAUUUUAUUAUUUCACUGUUAUAAGUAAUAUGAUGAUAAUUCAUAUAAACAUGCCUUUAAACACAUCUCUGAUUACUUCCUCAAAGUAGAAUCCUAACAGUGAAAUUGCUGAGUAGAAGGGCAUGCACUUUUCUCUUUUGAGAAUUUUGCUGCAUAUUUCCAAGUUGCCCUCAAGAAUUGUUUUUUUCUACUUAUGCUAUCACCAGUGAUGGAUGAGAUUGCUAGCUGGCCCCACAUUCUUGUCAACACGUGGUAUUUACGUUAUUUUCGAUCUUAAUAUGAUGUUAUUGUUAUUAUUAUAUUUUUAUCAGUAUCCUUGGCAUCAUUCUCCUGUGGUUUUUUUUUUUUUUGGUUUUUCAUUUUUUUUUUUGUCCUUUCUCACCUACUUGGUGAGAAAAUGCAGGUUGCGAAACAGGAAACCAUCACUCUUUGAAAGAGAAUUCUUUUCUCUAGAGGCUCAAAAAGCUAUUUCAUAAAGAAAUGUUGUUCAAGUCUCUAAUUUUAAACAUCCCAAUCACCACUGGCCUCUUGUAGGCCUCGGGCCUACAAGGAAGUCUGCGCAGCCUAAGGAGAACGUUAAUGUAUGCAGUGUUUUCUUUUUAUUCCCUUUGGCGACCUGUGCCUUUGGGAUGUCUUUGAGAUGUUUGAUGCUUUUUGUAGCUAAAGUUAUUGAUCAGGGCAGCAAAAGGAGUGCUGGCGAUGGCCAGAAGAAAUGCUUUCACCUGAAUUUGCAGCCAAUAUCCAAGAGGUCUGCUCAGCUUCAAAGAGUCUCACGGGUCUCAAUGCUUCUGACUGACCUGAUCCCAAAGGAAAAAAAUCAAGACAACCUGGUACUUAAUGAACUUAGAAAAGAGUAUCAUGAGACACGUUUAUAGUUGUAAAAAAGUAGUUUGAUUUUGCAGUCACUCUGCUCUUCCAUUAAGUUUUAAGUUCUGAUGUUUACAAGCAUGUUGAAAAUGUGUAAAAAUGGUCCUCUAAGACCAGUGUAGCAGCCAGCUCACCACUUUCCCCCAGUUUUCCUUCUGGGGAAAUGGCAGGCUUGGAAAACUUGGGGUCUUGGGGUUAGGUAGGGCCCUGUGACUGCUCCAGGUGCAUCAGCUAUGAGAAGAGGUGACCCGGGUCACUUCCAGGCUGGGGCAUCUAAUCGUCGGAGAGGGACCCUCCAGCUUCCUCCCCCUCUGCCACAGGGAUAAGAACAAUGUGAAGUCCCCGCGUAGGGACAGCGUGGGGCAGGUCCUGCAGAGUCUCCACAGGACAUGAGGCAGACCUGGCGAAGCACCUCAUGUUGCUCUGAGACCCUGAGGCUUUUGAGCUACGUCAUUGGUAAUGGUUUGUUACUGCAGUAUAACCUCACCCAUGAUAACAGACAUGUAGCAUGAUACAGACAUGUACCCAUGAUACAGGCAUGUUGAAAUUUUUUCCCUAAUGAAUAUUUAAUGAUGAUUACAAACCUACAAAAUAAAAAUCAUCAUUGAUUACAAGAACUGAAUUUCUCAUGAAAGAAACAUGCAAAGUAUCUUUAAAAGCUGAAAGUAUUUAAGCCAUUCCCAGUCCUAAUUGUUAUUGAAGUUUGUAUGCCAAUUUCUCUUUCUAAUCCAAAUAAAAUUUCGUGCACCAAAUUAAAAACUGAAAAGGAGUAAUAACAUGUAUGGUGCACCUACCACAUGCCAUAUAUAUUGCUAGAUAAUUUGGAUCUUUUAUUUUACUUAAGACAUCAUAGUAACCAUGGGAAGCAAAUGCCAUUUCUAUUCAAGGGGAAAAGAAAAAAAACAUCCUCCAAUGCUCAGAGAUGGAAAGAUUCGACCUUGAGCCCAGGUUGGUCUUAAUUUGUUGCCCUUGUUAUUUUUCCUCCUUUACAAGUGGUUUACUACUUUAUUUAUUAAUACAAUUACAUAAGUUAGUGUAUUACUCACAUACUUGAAAAAUAUACAAACAUUUUGUUCUGGAGACAAAACAGAAACAUGGUUCAAUUCAGAUCCAGUCUUUAUAGUUAUUGGAAUUGCCAACUCCAUGAACUCUGUUGAGACUAAAGUUACUUGGGACAAAAAUAUAAAAUGUUUCCCUAGUCCUUCUUGUUAAAUAAAUAUCUGUAUUUUCCCUGACUUCAGGUGUUAGCAUCAUGAAUGUACAUUCAGCCCUUUGUCUAAUUCAUGUAAGCGUUUUUGUUAACUGUUUCAGCAGCUGACUUUAUUUUUGCAGUAGUUGAAACAAUUUUAUAUUUGCAAGCCAGAUACCAUUCAGACUGUGCUACUGAUGGCCUGUUAUAGCAUCCUUCCUCUCUGGACAGUGGUUUAACUUUUCCAAUGCACCUGUCAAAAAAGCAGCAGCAGCAGAUGGAGAAGAAGGAAAGAAAAAGAGAGAGAAAGAACCAUUCGUCAUAGCUGAGAUUGUCAAACUCUUGGCUGAAGUGCCUGUACUGUUUUAAGUUCUCUUUGCCUAGCAUCUCUGUGUCCACUUAUCUCCACCCAGAAGGGUCCUGCUCUCUGGACACACAAGGCAGUUAGUGCCCAUCAAAGCUUUACAGACACAGCACAUCAGAAUUCCAACCCUUGAUUCUAAGCAGCCCAUCUCUUCAGUGUCCUUCAAAUGUACCUUGGCUAAUCCUAUGCCAAUCUGCUCAGGAUCAGUAAUAUUAAUGAAUGCAUUCAUUUCUUUGUGCAGUGUUUUGCAAAUCACAUUUAUUAACUUCAUUGCAUAGGAGACCAUGUUUGUGUGUUAGUGGGGAAUCUUGAAGGAGAGGAAAGUUAGGGACUCCCUUCCUCCUUGUGGUUCUGUCCGUCUGCAGGAAGCUGUGCAAAUCAAAACUCCAGCUUCUCCCUGUAGACCAUCUUCUUUCUCCCUCUUUCUGGUAGCACGUGGUACCCACAUCACCUGUGGUUGCUCCCAAUAAGAUCUUAGGCAUUUGCAGGAAUGUGAGCUAGGAGAGAGAGCAAGGCUUUGGAGCCAGACAGAAGGUAGUUUGAAGCCCAGCUCUGCCACUCAAAUGUGUGACGUUGGGCAGAUUGCCUCGCCCUUGGGCACUGUGGUUUGUUGGUCCACGAGUGGAGAUAAUAGAAGCCACCUCAUAUGCUAUCACACAGAUGACACAUGGGAAUGCGCAUCAAGGACUUUGCCCAAAACCUGGCUAAAGAAUGGCUGCGCUCUGUCUCUCCUUCAGUCCUUCGAAGGGAGAGAGACCUCAGCCCACCCACCCGCCUUUUUCCUCUCUCCUUCGCCACAGCAUUCAUGGAAUGCUGAGUACAUGGGGAGAUGCAAUCAGUAUUCUCUGAAUUGAAUCAUAUACAGGCCGAUCCUCAGAUACUGCCCUGGAGAAAAACUCCACCCCAGGGUGGGCAGCCGCCCUGCCUUGCCUGCCAGUCAGAAGUGUCCUUUGAAGUGCAGAGACAUCUUUCAUAGCGAGGAGUUAGACCUGAGCGGCACAGGGAUGUGUCAGAAUUAUGCCAGUUUCCAAUAGCACCAGGAAAGUCCUGGAGGUAACCAGAAAAUUGAAUCCUUGGUGUCUGUCACUCCAUGUGUGCAAAAGACCAUGAGUCAUUUUACCUGGAAAAGCAAAAACCCAUUUUGUGGACUGCACCCGUUGUUUAGGAAAGGGCUUGUGGAAAAGGAGAAUAUUCGCUUAUAAUUAAGAAGCAAAAUAUGUUUUCUGCUGCUGCCCUGAGGGUUUUUUUUUUUUUCCCCUUUUGUUUUUGUGUUUUCCAGUUCCCUAUUGGUUUUGAUUAAUUUUGCCCUAGAUUCAUGAGCUUUGUGAACCUGGAGACUUUUUUUUUUUAAUUUAAAUAAAUAAAAAGAGCCUGUAAGUUUCCCCCAGAUCACCAGACUUCAAUAUUAAAUUACUGUUUUCUGGCAGGAUCGUCCACAAAACUCUGAUUUUGUUUCUUUCUCUGUUCCCAUCCUGAUAAUUGUGGCUGAAUUCCCUUGUCUUUAAUAUGCCAUAUAUUCUCCACCUGGCAAAGGAUUCAGACAGAUACAGAUAAUAAAUACCCCGUAGACAUACAGACAGAGAAACGGCUGUAAUUGCUUUCAUAAUGACUCUGAGACAUCAAAGGAAGGCAAAUAAUGGUAUUUAACACUGUUUCCAUUCUUUAGCUGAAAUGUAAUUUUAUAGAGUUAUUGUCAGGCAGUACGGCGAACGUACAAGUACAACUGUCAUAUUCAGCUCAUAUUAAUUAGCUGCCCAUGAGAGGGCCAGGCGAGUAAUGGCAAAGUUCUCCUCAUUUCAGAUGGUCUGAUAUUCAGACAGAACCACAAGUACAAUAGCUUGAUUAACAUAGUUGCUUAGAUCAGGUUUUCCCUGGGAGUGUGUCAAUUGGCAUUUUGAAGAAUCAAUUAAUUAGCACUCCAAAUAAUCCAUUCUUGGGUUAAUGAAAGUGUUUUGUACAGCUGCAAAAAAUUACAUGAAGAAAAACUAAACCUUUCCAAAGUGGCAGUGAAAAAGAUUUAUCUUGGAAAACUGCAUUGUCCAUCUCAAAAUGCCAUCAAAAAUGUGUGCUUCCUUUCAAAGCCAGGGGGUGGACAUGUAUGGUUUUAAACUACAGUGGGUAUAUUUUGGCUAAGAAGAAGACAAGUGGUGGAUGCCACAGUGGUGAAAAAAUGAGAACUUUUAUUUUCACUAUUUUGUAAUUGUGUUAUUUAAUUAGGGUAAGUCAUGGUCAACGUUUUGCAUACCAUUAUCCACUAUUUUAAACAACUACUCUUUGAUGGCAAUAUGCUUAUUAACAUUUUUAAAAUGCCAGUAUCACAGAGAUACUCCUGCUUUUGAAAAUUCAAGAUAGAAUUCUCAAAUGAAAAUUACAAAUUAAAGAAGCAAAUUUUUAUGUAAUAAAGCACUCUUUACACCAAAGUUUAAAUUAUCAAUAAAUCAAACUGUGAAACUCUAGAUACCUUUGCCAUCAUCAAAAUGUUACUUUCAGCACAUCUUAUCAGUUCGCCCCUAUACUUAAAGUAAAUGCUAAUGCUGUCUUUUUUCUAACUCUCUGGGUCCAAAUUUUAAAGAACUUAAUUUUGUGGCAUGCUUUUUUAUUUCUGAAAUAACCUCAAUCAACCUUAUAAAAAUAUAAAAUAGUUUAUUUGGAAACUUAGCUGUCUCCGACUUCCAAAACUUAGUGUAAAUUAUAGAUGGUACUUAUAAAACAAUUCUUCCUUUAGGAAAUUCCACUUUUAUCAGCAUCCCUGAAGUAAAUAGUUUUUAAAUUAUGUUCGAGGCCCUUGAAAUGAAAAAUGUAAAAUAUUCAUCAAGUAAAAUGAGUGGUAGUAUCCACUAAAAAUUAUUUGGAAUUAAAAUGCAAAUUUUGACAUUUGUAUCAGUGGGUUUACUUUUUUAUUUUUUGGUGGUUUGAGAAAUGUGAUGUCUUACCAUUAAGUAAUUAGUAACUUUCUAAUUCAGUCUCAUUCAUAGAAUAUGACUACUGACUUAGGUAAAAAUCGGCAUAUUUAAAACAGGCUAUAACAAGUUUUUGCUGCUAUCAGAUGUAGAUUACCGUCCUUUAUCUUGUCUUAGUAUUUAGUAAAGUGUUGGGAGUUUCAUGAUGUAGAAGUACAUUUUCUUGCUUAUUAGGUGGAUGAGAGUUGUAGAGUUCAUUAUCAAUAGUAACUCUUGAAGGUUGAUCUAUCUAGCAUAUCCCCAAAUCAAGAAUACACAGAGAAAAAGUAAAACACGCACACACAUGUGCACACAGAAUUCAGUAGACGCAAACUGCUCUUAGGAUGAACAACGCUCUCAGUCGGAACUGUUUGGGUUCAGGGUUUAAGGAGGACCCGUGAGGCGACUGCUAGGCGUCUUCCUUCCCUGAGCUGUUGAGGCACGACCCCCACACCUUCCUCCUCUUCCUUCUGGGUGACCAAAUGAUGGGCAGGGGCUUGUUCCUAAUACGUUUGAAUGGAUGCCUGUGAGUUUCAGCAUCACCAGUUUAUUGCUUACCAUUUUAUUUUUUAAUGCUCUCGGAAAUGUAAAAUGGCAAAGUUUUGCUGUCACUGCUCACGGUGGACUUCAGCCAGCAACGAGAUCUAUUGCUUAUUUUGCUAAUCAGCUCCUUCCAUAUCUGCAUGCUCAUUUUCUGAUAGCUGAUGAGGCGACAAGGUCAUUGGACGUACAAGUACUUAUUUAAAAACAGACAUGAGAGUGAGAUAGAGGUUAGUUGGGUCUAUCAGAGCUGUCAAUCAAUUAAUGAAAAUUAUUGAGCAAGGACACUGUGGGGGAAGCGAACAGAAGGAGGGAAAAUGACCAUGGAGACACAGCAUAGGGAAAACGCCAGAACUGCCUCAGUGUGUUCACGUGAGCGCUGAAAACAGACAUGCUCACAUCCCAAGUGAGAGACAGCUCUGAGACACAGCCGCCGCAGUCCGCGGGCUGAAGGCACAGGGCUCUUGCCCAGACGUACAGCCUGAACGAUGCCUCUGCUCAGAUGCCGAGGGGGCAUCUGGGGGCCUGAUGAAUAUUUUAUUAACGCGUCCAAGGCCUGUGGCCAAGAUUCCGAGUCAUUUAAAGACACUGUUAUUGAGACCAAAGUCUGUGGUAAACAGAGGCUCGAGGAGUCCACACAGCUCCCUUCUUCCAGGGAAGGAAAUAUCAGAUCCCUACGUGUGUGACAGACGUGAGUAACACCAGAAAGGGCUUCACUAGGAUCUGCACACACACUAUCAUCACCUCUGCACACGCAGGCUGGUCCCAGGCUGGCACCGACCGUCUAUCAGCGCGAAAGAAAGAAAAUUCAUAAGCUGAUCCUUAGGGGAGGGGGAGAAUGGAGGAAUAGAAAAAAUGUACAAAUGAAAGGAAUGAGAGAGAAAGAGAGCGACUGAGGGAUGAGGGGAGAAAAAUUGCCAACAAGCUUGUGUGAAGGAAAGAUAGCGAGGGAGAAAGAGAGAAAGGGCUGCCGAGUCAAAAACAGGGAGAUACUGACACCAAAUCUCUGCAAAGCGUUCAAAAUUCUCCAGCUGCCACGCUUUUAAUUUGCUACCAUUCUAAUUAAAAUGCAAAUUAAAUUUAUAAUUAGCAUCAGCGCUUUCUAAAGAAGCCUUGUGCGCUGCACAAACAUAUGGGAUGAUGCCGUAGUGAAAAGUUUGUAAAAACAGAAGUAAUAGCACCAGGUCGGGACGGGGUGGGGUGGGGUGGGGUGGGGAGCUGUUCUUUCCCCUGGGAAAUAAGUUUGAUGCAGAGGCUUAAGGGGAAGGCAAGGGAGCGGCGUUUCUUAGAGGAGGAUGGAGGUGGGUGAAUGUCCCACGGCAACAAAAGGAUUGCUGAAUGUGGAAGAUGGCCCGGCCAGGGUGUGACUUUGUGUUGAGUCAGGUGUCAGGGGUUACCCUGCGUGUCAGGGGAUUGUAUAGGAGAUGCCAAAAGGCAAAUGGGGUCAAAGCUUCUAAUCAAAAAGUCUAUGGCCAAAAUUAACCGCUGCUUGCUUCCAGAUAAUUAAUUUAAAAAUUGAUGGGGAACAAAGUACCGAAAUCACCUCAUGAUUCGCACAUGUAUCAUGUGUGAAAAGUAAACUUUCUCCCCGACUUGCUGGCUGAAGCUGAAAGGUGGGUGGAGAUCCUGGAAGCAAGUUAACCAAAUGGUGGAUUUUCUGUGGUGCUGGGUUUGCUGAGGUGUUUGCUGAAUAUGCAGGUUUUUAUCCCUAGAAUGCUUCAAGCAUAAACGAAUGAAUCUGGUAUUUCUGUGAUUUUUCUUCAGGAAUAUAGUUGUGUUUAGUGAGGCUGAUGGAACAUAAACAGGAAACUUGCACCUGUAGUCAGAGAGGAGGAAAAAAAAAAAAACAGAAAAAACCUGCCACAAAAUUGCCCUUAUAUUCACCAGAGUUUGGUUCAAGAGGAUCUUUCUGAAUUAAAAAAAAUAAAUAAAAAUCUGCAGUCCUCAUGGUAAUUGUGCUUUCCUUUCCAGUGGAGGACCUUACCUGCACCUAAGUGUCUUUAAUAUUCCAGGAACUCUCCUUUAUCUAUUAACCAGGCUCUCCAUCAGAUAUUUUAAAAUUUGAAUGUAACAGGAAUGAAUAUUUCAUAGAUGUGUGUUAAGCUGUUAUUAAACUAUAAUGUAAAGCAGGAUUGCAGGAAUAUUUUUAUAUGUCAGAAAGUCAAUUAAAAUGAUAAGCCUGUAAUAUCAGUGUGGUGGAGCUGUACAAAAUGGCAUUUCAUAUGCACGGGAGGCCCUUAGCCACCUCGCAUGUGGGUGGCAGGCAGGACUGUUACAUAUUCAGAGGCCUGUGUACUUCAAUUUCAUUAGUAACACUUAGGUCCAUUUUCGGCAGAGAUUAAAUGGAGAGCUAUGGGGGAUAAAUCUUACCUGACUUGAUUUUUAUUUAGUAUUACAAAAAUGGCAUUAGGCAUUCUUAAAGGUAGGUGCUUACUGAAAUGCAUGGAGGAUUCAUUUGGAAAUAAAUGUCAAUCCCUAGAAGAGUGAGGUGCCCAUAAUAAAAUCUCUAGUGAGGAUGCCCCCCUUGACUUAAAUGAAAGAGAUGUAGUGUCUCCUGAAGAAAAACAUCACAAAAACUGAGAAUAGGGGAGGAAGUUGAAACUAACAGGGACCAUAUUAAUAUAGUACUUAAAAAAAAAAGUAGAUUGCUUUUUGUAGACUCUGAAAUAAAAAUAAGCUCUGUGCAAGGGAGUAUUUUUGGCUUUUGUUUGCAUACUCAGGCAGAAAUGUUUAUAAGUAUAGUUGGUUGAAUUACAUUAGAGUGCUUUAUAGAAAAUUAAAUGCUUUCCCAAACUUCCUUUGACCAACAGUUCUCCCCUGGGCAAUGGCCAUUGUCAAAAACGGGAUGCUAAAAGGUGGUCUGCAUGACAGGUCUGACAUAACUCAAUUAAUCAAGACUUCACCAAAGAAAGGAAAAUAAUUCUACCCAUACGGUGAUGAAAAGUGUUCUUCUGAUAUUCACUGAGUAGCAGUCCCUUAUUUUUUUUCCUGGUGUCUAAGAGGAAUGCAGGCUUCUUAAAUAAGUCUUCUGUUGUGAUGGACAAAAGGCUGAAAACUAUGGCAUAAAAGCAUUUCUUUGUUUAAUUUCUAAUUGUUGUCCUUCUCUUAUUCAGAAAAUGAAGUCACCUUUGUCGUGGUUUCAUGAACCGCUGGGUAAUCAAAAUUAUUAUGCUGCCACCUGUUGUCUGUUAAUUAUUCUGAGAAGAUACUCAUAAAUCAUAACACCGGACAAUAAAUCAAACUGUCAGCUCCCAGGUCAAAGGUGACCCAUGAAAAGUUAUAGGUCACCCACCGGGUGUGAAAGAGCAGGGUUUUAGAGCAUCACUCAUUGUCAGGCACUGUUGAGAGAAGUGCCGUCAGAACAAAAGGAAAACUGAAGUACAGGAGAAUUUCAGUCUGGGGACAGGCUUUGGGCUCCAGGCUCCAGCCCUAGUGAAACUGAACCUACAUUACACAUGAAUUGACCAGCAAGCUAGUGUGGUCAUGGCCCAGCUUGAGACCCACUGUUCUUUGAAACUGUAUGGCAAAUAGUGCUCUUUUUGGAAAACUCUAAAGAGUAACUAGUUAAGAACAUUAUCUUCUCUGUUUUCCUCUUCAUUGGUGAGUGUAUUGGAGAAAUUUGCGUUCUGCUGCAUUAUUCAUCAAGACAAUCACAAUAUGUCAAACUGUAGUUGACUGGAGGAUGCUUUUGAAUGUCUUACUUCCUAAAUUAAUUUGGCUUGGAAUAUGUUUUCCUUGUGGUGUGACAAGAACUUGAACCACAUUUAACAUUUUCAACUCAUUUCUUUUCAGUCGCCGGUAUUGAAAAUAACAUCAUCACUUCAAACCAGUGUGUGUUGAUGAAUAUCCUUGAUUUAAAACCUGGCUAGGGGUAAAUUAUUUCUGAUGUGGUGGAAGCAACUUUAAGGUAAGACAUAAUAAAGACAUAAUGACAAAGCAGCUGGGGAACAGAACUAAUGUUCCAGUUGGGAAACGCAUUGCCUGUUAUUUGAAUUAAAUUCUGUAAAAUGGACAUCAUGCUGUCAUUAAAAAUUUCUCUCCAAGACAUUAAUUUUUUUUCCUUUGGGUUAAUUUGUUAUUUUCUGUUUGAAUAAUCCUCAUGAGGCUUUCCUCAUGAGGAAUAGGAGUACCAUCAGAAUGUCAAAUGGAGCCUGAUUUUUUUUUUUUAAAGGACACACUAUGGUCUUUGUUUAAAUCAUACACAUCAGAACCAACACUCCAAAAGACUAUCCUCCAGAACAGACUCUGAUCCACUUUCUUUUUCACUCUAGCAAGCCAUUAUUUUCCCAUUUUUGAGGCAAGUGACUCAUAAAAAUAUGUCAGGAGACCUUGGAGGUCAAAGCAUGUUCACUGAUCCAGCUUUAACCAUGACUGAAUAUGUAUACAUGGGGGUCACAUAGUUUCAUUCUAAAAUCACAACAAAAUGCCUUGUGGAUGCUGGGGCUACCACGGAGUGAAUUCAGCACUUAACCCACUAGCAAGCUAUUCUGCAGACUGACAAUGUCCUCGAGUACUAAAGUCAUGUUAUUUGGCAAUUCUCCAAUCAUCUCAUCAAAAUGGGAUUUGCUGAAGCUCUUCUGAUCACCUUUGCAAGUUUACUGUGUUGAAGUUGUAGGUACGUUCUUCCAGGCUGCCGGCGUGGAAAUUAUGAACAGAGACUUCCCUAGUUUCCUCUCCAAGCAGAGCUGAGAGCUUCCAUUCAUUUGAUACUGAUGCACUGAAAACCUGCUAGAAACCAGACAUUAUAUCAGGACCCUGUGCCAAGAACAUUCACUAGGCAAGGAGAGUUUCCACUGGGCCAAACGUUGUAUGAAAGGCAAGGUCUUGGAACUUGCUGCAAAUGGGUUAACUUACCCAGCUGAAGCUGAAAUUCCAAUACUUUGGCCACCUGAUGUGAAG